This 418-nucleotide long non-coding RNA is filed under the name Gallus gallus (chicken). The record is from RNAcentral. Lineage: Eukaryota; Metazoa; Chordata; Aves; Galliformes; Phasianidae.
GGGGGGGCCGCCCCCGGGCUCUGCUCCUGGGGGUGCAGCACCUCGGAUGGGAGCCGUGACUGGAACUUCUCCAGCUGCUCGGGGCUGGCCAGGGUCUUCAGGAGGCUGUUCUCACGCUCCAGCUGGGAGUUCUUCUCCAACAGUUCCUUAAUCUGCUCCUUCAGCACCUCCACCUCCUCCCGCACCGCGUACAUCAGGUGGUUCUUUACCAGGUCCAUCGCCUGCUCGAUCUUGUUGUCAAUGGCCACCACGCUGGCUCCGGAGGCACUGUUGUCCAGCUUCACGGAGACCACGUCCCCCCCGAGCAAGGAGGAGAAGAAGGAGAUAGAGAAGUUGUGCAGCUGAUAGACAGCCACCUCCAUGGGGGAGUGGUACACGCCGGUGCUCAUGGCUGCGCGGAUCGGCACGGACAGCUGCG